UUUCCUACUUGGUCCUGCUCGCGGCGCCGCGCCUCCGGGUGUUGGGGAGUUAGGGAUGAUGGGGAGUCCGGGGCUCGCCCUAGUCGCGGGGACACCGCCUUCCAGGAGCUGUCCCCAGGCAAACUCACAGACAUCUUCAAAGAGCCUUCUUGGACAUUCUGUUUUUUGCUCCUCAAAACAGGCUUCGGAAAGAGAACAGGCAAACAUCACUGCGAGCGCCUCUAGGGCUCCUUUCCCUGUCCCAGGACCGGGAAUCGGGGAGGGGUCCAAGCAGAGUUCACUUAGUUAACAAAUCAAUGAAAAGUUGGAAAAUCUCAGUUAUAUUUUAAAUGAGAUCGAGGGCGGUGACUCACGCCUGUAAUCCCAGCACUUUGGGAGGCCGAAGCGGAGGUGGAGGGUCGCUUGAGGCCAGGAGUUCGAGACCAGCCUAGGCAACAUGGUGAAGAUGGCCUAUCAAAAUCAUUUUUAUUUUCACUUCUUUAUUUCAGGCUACAGUACAGUGGCAUGAUCUCGGCUCACUGCAACCUCCACCUCCCAGGUUCAGAGUACAAUGGCACGAUCUCGGCUCACUUCAACCUCCGCCUAGCAGUGUGUCCGGAAUCAGUGGGUUCUUGGUCUCACUGACUUCAAGAAUGAAGCCGUGGACCCUCGCGGGUCCCGCUGUGUCACCUGGGCUAGAGUACAGCAGUGCCAUCACGACUCACUGUAACCUCAACAUCCCAGGUCAAGCAAUCCUCCCACUUCAGCCUCUCCAGUAGCUAGAACUACAGGCAUGUGCCACCAUGCUUGGCUAAUUUUUUUGUAUUUUUUGUAGAGAUAGGGUUUAGCCAUGUUGUCCAGGCUGGUCUUGAACUGCUGGGCUCAAGCAA
Long non-coding RNA from Pongo pygmaeus (Bornean orangutan), 869 nucleotides. RefSeq lists it as uncharacterized. The record is from RefSeq and is a predicted model, not a curated record. The transcript is spliced from 5 exons. Lineage: Eukaryota; Metazoa; Chordata; Mammalia; Primates; Hominidae.